This is a long non-coding RNA of Trichosurus vulpecula (common brushtail), 427 nucleotides long. RefSeq lists it as uncharacterized. The record is from RefSeq and is a predicted model, not a curated record. The transcript has 5 exons. Lineage: Eukaryota; Metazoa; Chordata; Mammalia; Diprotodontia; Phalangeridae.
GGCAGUGGCUGCUUCUCUCCUCUCGAAAGGAUCCCUUCCUGACUUUAUCCAAGUCCAUCCUGGGCCUUGGAGACUCCCAGCUGGUGGCUAUGGACGGUGGAAGAGCCCGGGAUGGAGGGGACCUCGUGGGUGAAGCUGAGGCCUGCCACGUGAAGGACCAUCUUCUGCAAGAUGAAUGGAAUAGGCUGGACCUGCCUCUUAAUGCAUGGGGCUGCUAAACCAACUAGUUUCAGGUGCUGAUCAUGACUGGCCCCCAGCAAUUGUGACUUUCUUUGAUGGACUACAAUUGGUUUAGACUUUUCAUCAGCUUUGUGAAGGGGACAGAGCCGGGAGUAUGGAGAAUGGAGCCCUCUUUGAGAUGUCAUAGUCACUUCUUGGACUUCAGAACCUCAAAAUGAUAUUUAAUAAACCUAAUUUUUCAAAAAUA